This 617-nucleotide ribosomal RNA is filed under the name uncultured bacterium. RNAcentral's name for it is "bacterial SSU rRNA". The stretch from base 1 to 543 matches the Rfam family "Bacterial small subunit ribosomal RNA", at positions 338 to 873 of the family's 1533-position model. The record is from RNAcentral.
CCUACGGGAGGCAGCAGUGGGGAAUUUUGGACAAUGGGCGCAAGCCUGAUCCAGCCAUGCCGCGUGUGGGAAGAAGGCCUUCGGGUUGUAAACCACUUUUGUCAGGGAAGAAACGGCUCUUACUAAUAUUAGGGGCUAAUGACGGUACCUGAAGAAUAAGCACCGGCUAACUACGUGCCAGCAGCCGCGGUAAUACGUAGGGUGCAAGCGUUAAUCGGAAUUACUGGGCGUAAAGCGUGCGCAGGCGGCUUUGCAAGACAGAUGUGAAAUCCCCGGGCUCAACCUGGGAACUGCAUUUGUGACUGCAUGGCUAGAGUACGGUAGAGGGGGAUGGAAUUCCGCGUGUAGCAGUGAAAUGCGUAGAUAUGCGGAGGAACACCGAUGGCGAAGGCAAUCCCCUGGACCUGUACUGACGCUCAUGCACGAAAGCGUGGGGAGCAAACAGGAUUAGAUACCCUGGUAGUCCACGCCCUAAACCGAUGUCAACUGGUUGUUGGACGGCUUGCUGUUCAGUAACGAAGCUAACGCGUGAAGUUGACCGCCUGGGGNGGUACGGCGCGAGUAGACGACGAAGAGUAGUAGCGNGAGAGAGCGACGACGGACGACGAGGAGGGAGG